CUUAUCUGUAGUAAUACAUAGUAUAUAUUGACAGGUUAAAAAAGUGUAUUUCUGUUCUAAUUAAUAUAUAUUUGUAUCUACAUUUUAACAUUUAAUUGCAAGUGGACAUUCAAUGCAUGCUGUAAUUGAAGGUAAAUAUUUAAUAAUUUACUUUUCUGAGUGUUGUGAUCGACAAAGUUUUGUUAAAAGGUAAGAUUAAAUGCAUGACUACAUUAUUCAUCAUAAACAGUUUAGUUUAAAUGAAUGACAGCUGAUUUUAAGUAAACAAACAUAUCUUUGGUUAAUAUUUACGUACUGUUACUUCACACACAAAGGAUAUUCACUGAUACAAAAAUGCAACACAAAUGUCGAUACAUUGUACAAAUGAAAACAUGCAGCUAAAUUUUGACACAAGGUCAAUUAUAAAUACAUUGAAAAUAAUAUAUGAACUCUGAAAUUUACAAUUAAGUUAAAUUAUAAUUUAAUCUGUUGCCAGGAUCUUUCUUUUACAAAGAAAAUUUAGACCAUAUCAUUUAAAAAUCUAUCGCCACAAAAGACAACAACACUCCAAUUUUCACCAAUGGUAUUGGUUUAUUAGGUCGACAUGUAUUUCCAGCAGGAGUGUCUAAAGAAUAAAAACAUAUUGUUCAUUUUCUUAUACAAUGUGUCAGAUGCAUGCUCAAUCAAGACAGAAGAUUAUCAUUUUAUUGGUCUAUUUCAUCUAAGGUUUAAAGUUUCUAAUUUUCAUUAAAUUAUGACUUGAGAUGAUUAAAAUUUUAAAAUUCAGUCUGACUGGAAAUAUUUAAUAUCUUAUAGACUAAUGUACCCAUAUAAUGUCCCAACAUUCACAAGCAUCAAAGGUUGUUGACCCCACAUGUCACUAUACAAAGGUGACAUUUUCUUGUAAAAUUAAAAUCAAUUCUAAAUCUUCUACUUUACUUACAGAGGAGAUGUGACAAUAUUUUAAUCAUAUUUCAUCAUCAAACUUGUCAUUUAUCAUUCAAUAAGAUAAAAAAAAAUAAAAAGAAAUUUUCCUUUUAUAAAAAUAGAAAAUUAGGAAUACAAUAUAUUACUAUAUCUAUGAAUGAAAAAUGAUAUGCUAAGGCACUGUUCUGUAUACAUAUGAACAGUACUAAGAUUUAAUUAACUUCUUAAUGGCAAUUCAGUUAAAAAAAAUUACAAAAUUUAAGAAGACAAUCUUUACUUGAAAAAAUCGUUCAGUACAACAAAUAACAAUAUACAGCUGACAUACUGUUUCAGGGGCGGAUCCAGCCAUUUUAAAAAGGGGGGGUUCCUAACCAGGACAAAGGGGGGGUUCCAACUAUAUUUCCCCAUUCAAAGGCAUUGAUCGUCCAAAAAAAAGGGGGGUUCCAACUAUAUUUCCCCAUUCAAAGGCAUUGAUCGUCCAAAAAAAAGGGGGGUUCCAACCCCCGGAACCCCCCCCUCUGGAUCCGCGCCUGUGUUUCUCAAUUAUUAUAUAAAUUCUUGGUAUCUUAAAUUCAAGUUUAAGGUAUCAAAUAACAUAUAAAUCCUGACAUGAAACACUGUCAGCAUCUUUUAAAAGUUAACAAUCAAUAACUUUAGCACUUAUUCAGACCAGGAAGCUGGCUGUAUUCAAAGAGGCAAUUAAGGGGGAAUUAUGUUCAAUAUUUAAACAUCACUGGCAUAUCUGCUGGAGGCUAUAUGUUUUUGUUUGAAAGAAUAUUUAGAAGACUUUCUGGAAGUUUUUUACUCCCGUGCCUUCAAAGUAAAAUCUGUCUUAAAUUUUAAUGCAGCAAAAACUACAUGCAGCAGACGUCUCAAAUAUCCUAACAGAAUUUUAAAUGUUUUACAGGAUAUCAGUUGAAUUGUUGAAGUAUUGAUUCAAAACAGUCUACAAUGGAAAAUGGAAUAGACAUGAUAGAG
RNAcentral lists this long non-coding RNA (1884 nucleotides) under Mytilus galloprovincialis (Mediterranean mussel). The record is from RNAcentral. Lineage: Eukaryota; Metazoa; Mollusca; Bivalvia; Mytilida; Mytilidae.